RNAcentral lists this ribosomal RNA (738 nucleotides) under uncultured bacterium. RNAcentral's name for it is "bacterial SSU rRNA". It matches the Rfam family "Bacterial small subunit ribosomal RNA", at positions 28 to 762 of the family's 1533-position model. The record is from RNAcentral.
AUUGAACGCUGGCGGAAUGCUUUACACAUGCAAGUCGAACGGCAGCGCGGGAGCUUGCUCCUGGUGGCGAGUGGCGAACGGGUGAGUAACAUAUCGGAACGUACCCAGUAAUGGGGGAUAACUAGUCGAAAGAUUAGCUAAUACCGCAUACGCCCUGAGGGGGAAAGCGGGGAUCGUAAGACCUCGCGUUAUUGGAGCGGCCGAUAUCUGAUUAGCUAGUUGGUGGGGUAAAGGCCUACCAAGGCGACGAUCAGUAGCUGGUCUGAGAGGACGACCAGCCACACUGGAACUGAGACACGGUCCAGACUCCUACGGGAGGCAGCAGUGGGGAAUUUUGGACAAUGGGCGCAAGCCUGAUCCAGCCAUUCCGCGUGAGUGAAGAAGGCCUCGGGUUGUAAAGCUCUUUCGCAAGGGAAGAAACGAUACGAGCGAAUAACUCGUGUUAAUGACGGUACCUUGAUAAGAAGCACCGGCUAACUACGUGCCAGCAGCCGCGGUAAUACGUAGGGUGCGAGCGUUAAUCGGAAUUACUGGGCGUAAAGCGUGCGCAGGCGGUUUUGUAAGUCAGAUGUGAAAUCCCCGGGCUCAACCUGGGAACUGCGUUUGAAACUACAAGGCUAGAGUAUAGGAGAGGGGGGUAGAAUUCCACGUGUAGCAGUGAAAUGCGUAGAGAUGUGGAGGAAUACCAAUGGCGAAGGCAGCCCCUGGCCUAAUACUGACGCUCAUGCACGAAAGCGU